GACGAACGCUGGCGGCGUGCCUAAUACAUGCAAGUAGAACGCACAGUUUAUACCGUAGCUUGCUACACCAUAGACUGUGAGUUGCGAACGGGUGAGUAACGCGUAGGUAACCUGCCUGGUAGCGGGGGAUAACUAUUGGAAACGAUAGCUAAUACCGCAUAAUAUUAAUUAUUGCAUGAUAAUUGAUUGAAAGGUGCAAAUGCAUCACUACCAGAUGGACCUGCGUUGUAUUAGCUAGUAGGUGAGGUAACGGCUCACCUAGGCGACGAUACAUAGCCGACCUGAGAGGGUGAUCGGCCACACUGGGACUGAGACACGGCCCAGACUCCUACGGGAGGCAGCAGUAGGGAAUCUUCGGCAAUGGACGAAGGUCUGACCGAGCAACGCCGCGUGAGUGAAGAAGGUUUUCGGAUCGUAAAGCUCUGUUGUAAGAGAAGAACGGGUGUGAGAGUGGAAAGUUCACACUGUGACGGUAUCUUACCAGAAAAGGGACGGCUAACUACGUGCCAGCAGCCGCGGUAAUACGUAGGUCCCGAGCGUUGUCCGGAUUUAUUGGGCGUAAAGCGAGCGCAGGCGGUUAGAUAAUUCUGAAGUUAAAGGCUGUGGGCUUAACCAUAGUACGCUUUGGAACUGUUUAACUUGAUUU
This 646-nucleotide ribosomal RNA is filed under the name uncultured Streptococcus sp. Its description in RNAcentral is "bacterial SSU rRNA". It matches the Rfam family "Bacterial small subunit ribosomal RNA", at positions 28 to 648 of the family's 1533-position model. Lineage: Bacteria; Bacillati; Bacillota; Bacilli; Lactobacillales; Streptococcaceae. The record is from RNAcentral.